Molecule: ribosomal RNA, 551 nt
Filed under: uncultured bacterium
Lineage: Bacteria
Description: bacterial SSU rRNA
Rfam family: Bacterial small subunit ribosomal RNA
Source: RNAcentral
AAUAGAUACCCCGGUAGUCCACGCCGUAAACGAUGAGUGCUAAGUGUUAGGGGGUUUCCGCCCCUUAGUGCUGCAGCUAACGCAUUAAGCACUCCGCCUGGGGAGUACGGUCGCAAGACUGAAACUCAAAGGAAUUGACGGGGGCCCGCACAAGCGGUGGAGCAUGUGGUUUAAUUCGAAGCAACGCGAAGAACCUUACCAGGUCUUGACAUCCCAUUGACCACUAUGGAGACAUAGUUUUCCCUUCGGGGACAACGGUGACAGGUGGUGCAUGGUUGUCGUCAGCUCGUGUCGUGAGAUGUUGGGUUAAGUCCCGCAACGAGCGCAACCCUUGUUCUUAGUUGCCAUCAUUUAGUUGGGCACUCUAAGGAGACUGCCGGUGACAAACCGGAGGAAGGUGGGGAUGACGUCAAAUCAUCAUGCCCCUUAUGACCUGGGCUACACACGUGCUACAAUGGACGGUCAAACGGUUGCCAACCCGCGAGGGGGAGCUAAUCCGAUAAAACCGUUCUCAGUUCGGAUUGUAGGCUGCAACUCGCCUACAUGAAGCC